RNAcentral lists this ribosomal RNA (809 nucleotides) under uncultured bacterium. Its description in RNAcentral is "bacterial SSU rRNA". It matches the Rfam family "Bacterial small subunit ribosomal RNA", at positions 9 to 790 of the family's 1533-position model. The record is from RNAcentral.
GAGUUUGAUCCUGGCUCAGGACGAACGCUGGCGGCGUGCUUAACACAUGCAAGUCGAACGGGAUGAUUUAGAAGCUUGCUUUUAGAGAAUCUAGUGGCAAACGGGUGAGUAACACGUAGACAACCUGCCGACCGGAUGGGGACAACAUUCCGAAAGGAAUGCUAAUACCGAAUGAAGUCCAAGAGGGGCAUCCCUCCUGGAUGAAAGAUGGCCUCCGAACAUGCUAUCACCUGUCGAUGGGCCUGCGUCUGAUUAGCCAGUUGGCGGGGUAACGGCCCACCAAAGCGACGAUCAGUAGCCGGUCUGAGAGGAUGAACGGCCACAUUGGGACUGAGACACGGCCCAGACUCCUACGGGAGGCAGCAGUGGGGAACCUUCCACAAUGGGCGAAAGCCUGAUGGAGCAACGCCGCGUGAGUGAAGAAGGUCUUCGGAUCGUAAAGCUCUGUUGCAGGGGACGAAAACCGGGUUUGAAAACAUUGAGCCUGGGUGACGGUACCUUGCGAGGAAGCCACGGCUAACUACGUGCCAGCAGCCGCAGUAAUACGUAGGUGGCGAGCGUUGUCCGGAAUUAUUGGGCGUAAAGGGAGCGCAGGCGGGCUGCCAAGUCCAUCUUAAAAGUGCGGGGUUCAACCCCGUGAGGGGAUGGAAACUGGCAGUCUUGAGUGCAGGAGAGGAAAGCGGAAUUCCCAGUGUAGCGGUGAAAUGCGUAGAUAUUGGGAGGAACACCAGUGGCGAAGGCAGCUUUCUGGACUGUAACUGACGCUGAGGCUCGAAAGCCAGGGGAGCGAACGGGAUUAGAUACCCCGG